GCGGCCUAUCAGCUUGUUGGUGAGGUAAUGGCUCACCAAGGCUACGACGGGUAUCCGGCCUGAGAGGGCGACCGGACACACUGGGACUGAGACACGGCCCAGACUCCUACGGGAGGCAGCAGUGGGGAAUAUUGGGCAAUGGACGCAAGUCUGACCCAGCGACGCCGCGUGAGGGAUGAAGGCCUUCGGGUUGUAAACCUCUUUCAGUAGGGAAGAAGCGAAAGUGACGGUACCUACAAAAGAAGCACCGGCUAACUAUGUGCCAGCAGCCGCGGUAAUACAUAGGGUGCAAGCGUUGUCCGGAUUUAUUGGGCGUAAAGAACUCGUAGGUGGCUUGUUACGUCGGAUGUGAAACUCUGGGGCUCAACCCCAGACCUGCAUCCGAUACGGGCAGACUAGAGUGUGGUAGGGGAGACUGGAAUUCCU
RNAcentral lists this ribosomal RNA (426 nucleotides) under uncultured Actinomycetes bacterium. RNAcentral describes it as "bacterial SSU rRNA". It matches the Rfam family "Bacterial small subunit ribosomal RNA", at positions 233 to 671 of the family's 1533-position model. Lineage: Bacteria; Bacillati; Actinomycetota; Actinomycetes. The record is from RNAcentral.